RNAcentral lists this unclassified non-coding RNA (344 nucleotides) under soil metagenome. Its description in RNAcentral is "partial contains 5.8S ribosomal RNA, internal transcribed spacer 2, and large subunit ribosomal RNA". The stretch from base 1 to 120 matches the Rfam family "5.8S ribosomal RNA", at positions 35 to 154 of the family's 154-position model. The record is from RNAcentral.
GAUGAAGAACGUAGCGAAAUGCGAUAAGUAAUGUGAAUUGCAGAAUUCAGUGAAUCAUCGAGUCUUUGAACGCACAUUGCGCCCCCUGGUAUUCCGGGGGGCAUGCCUGUCCGAGCGUCAUUGCUGCCCUCAAGCACGGCUUGUGUGUUGGGCCCCGUCCCCUCCCCCGGGGACGGGCCCGAAAGGCAGCGGCGGCACCGCGUCCGAUCCUCGAGCGUAUGGGGCUUUGUCACCCGCUCUGUAGGCCCGGCCGGCGCCAGCCGACACCCAACUUUUAUUUCUAAGGUUGACCUCGGAUCAGGUAGGGAUACCCGCUGAACUUAAGAAUAUCAAUAAGCGGAGGA